RNAcentral lists this ribosomal RNA (719 nucleotides) under uncultured Candidatus Scalindua sp. Its description in RNAcentral is "bacterial SSU rRNA". It matches the Rfam family "Bacterial small subunit ribosomal RNA", at positions 565 to 1274 of the family's 1533-position model. Lineage: Bacteria; Pseudomonadati; Planctomycetota; Candidatus Brocadiia; Candidatus Brocadiales; Candidatus Scalinduaceae. The record is from RNAcentral.
GAGCACGUAGGUGGGUUUGUAAGUCAGAUGUGAAAGCCUUCUGUUCAACGGAAGAAUUGCAUCUGAAACUGCAAGUCUUGAGUGUAGGAGGGGAGAAUGGAACUUCUGGUGGAGCGGUGAAAUGCGUAGAUAUCAGAAGGAACGCCGGCGGCGAAAGCGAUUCUCUGGCCUAUUACUGACACUCAGUGUGCGAAAGCUAGGGGAGCAAACGGGAUUAGAUACCCCGGUAGUCCUAGCCGUAAACGAUGGGCACUAAGUAGAGGGAAUUACCGAUGUUCUCUCUGCCGUAGCUAACGCAUUAAGUGCCCCGCCUGGGGAGUACGGCCGCAAGGCUAAAACUCAAAAGAAUUGACGGGGGCUCGCACAAGCGGUGGAGCAUGUGGCUUAAUUCGAUGCAACGCGAAAAACCUUACCGGGGCUUGACAUGGUAGAAGUAGGAACCCGAAAGGGUAACGAACGGUAUCCAGUCCGUAGCUAUUACAGGUGUUGCAUGGCUGUCGUCAGCUCGUGUCGUGAGACGUUGGGUUAAGUCCCCUAACGAGCGAAACCCUUAUUUUUAGUUACCAGCGGGUUGUGCCGGGUACUCUAGAAAGACUGCCGUCGUCAAGACGGAGGAAGGUGGGGAUGACGUCAAGUCAUCAUGGCCCUUAUGCCCCGGGCUGCACACGUGCUACAAUGGUCGGUACAACGGAUGCGAAGCCGAGAGGUGAAGCGAAUCC